AUUUCCAUCACUGGGGAUCCUGUUAAAAAGCAGAUUCUGAAAAGCACAGUGGAUCUAUGUGAAUCAAGACAGCAUUUCUAACAGGCUCCCAACUGAUGCCAAU
Molecule: microRNA precursor, 103 nt
Filed under: Marmota monax (woodchuck)
Lineage: Eukaryota; Metazoa; Chordata; Mammalia; Rodentia; Sciuridae
Source: RNAcentral